Molecule: long non-coding RNA, 2022 nt
Organism: Hemiscyllium ocellatum (epaulette shark)
Lineage: Eukaryota; Metazoa; Chordata; Chondrichthyes; Orectolobiformes; Hemiscylliidae
Exons: 3
Source: RefSeq, a predicted model, not a curated record
GUCGCUCGAGCGGGGAAGCGGCGGCCGUUAGGAAAAUGGCGCCGUGCGGCCCGGGGCAGACCCCCGUCACUGGUCACCGCCGCCUUCCUGGUGCAGCUGCUGUGUCACGGCCACACCGGCCGGCUGUACAGCAGGCAGGAGCCGGUGACCAUUCUGGAGGCGGAUGGGGUUAAGGGCCUGUUUGGGAACUGGUCGGCCGCCUGGGUGGUGGAGUUCUACUGGUCGUGGGGCGGCCCCUGUGUCAACUAUGGGGCCACCUGGAAGGUACUGGGCCCGGGAGGUGAAAGGGCCACCAGAAGCCUUCUCAGUACUCUACAAGUGACUUCACCAACAUCCUGUACAACUUCAACAUGAUGUCCCAACUCCUUUAUUCAAUGGUGUGAACAAUUAAGCAAAGGCUAUAACUUCACACUGUGGGACUGUUUGCCAAUUGAGACGCAGACCUGGAUCAACAUUUCCUGAGACUGCUCCUCCCUGGAUUCACUGCCUUUACAUUCAGUUGCUGCGAGUCAACAAUUGAAGCCCACAAUGAAAUAAGAAAUUGAAAAGAGAGUGCCGUACUCCCAGAUGUUAAACAGAGGAAGGAGGUUGCACUCUGGAGUGAAGCUCAAUCUUCAUUCAAAGAGAGAGGUGCAGCAGCAGCUUCAGAAGCUCAUGGGACAACUUCCGCAUUCAGACAAUAGGGGAUGUUCUCAUUGGCAGGAGGACUACUCUCCGUUCGGUCCUCCAAGGCUCCCCAUUGGCUUCUAAAGAAGAUCGCCCCCGUUGCAGCGGACAGCUAGGAGCAUGCGCCGUUCUUGCUGACACCGAGGAGCAUGCGCCGUACACUCGGUGGCAAUGCUGCGAUUACUGACAAAUUUAAGUCUCCAAAUGCCAAUAGGAGAAAAAGAAACGGUAGAACCAAUAUUUCUUUUCCCCGUGACUCGACCUAACCAAACAUGCUCCUCACUAUUUUUGCUAGUCACCUUGCCUGCACCCCUCAUUAUUUUACAAAUCUCAAUAAGGUCACCCCUCAACCUCCUCCACUCCAGAGAAUAAAGUCUCAGCCUCUCCUUAUAACUCAAACCCUUCAGUCCUGGCAACAUCCUGGUAACUCUUUACCGAACCCUCUCUAAUAGUAUUCUUCCCAUAACAGAGCCACCAGAACUGUACUCUGUUGUAAAAGUGGCCUCACCAACAUCCUGUACAAUUUCAAAACGAUGUCCCAACUCCAACAUUCAACGGUGUGUACAAUGAAGGCAAGUGGGCUAAACAACUCUUAACCACUUAGUCUACCAGUGAUGCAACUUUCAAAGAACUAUGUACCUGAACCAUACCUCCAUGUCUCUGUUCUACAACAUAACCCAGGGCCCUGCCAGUAACUGCAAUUCCUCCCCUUCUUUUUUUAAGCAAAAUACAAUUCCUCACUUUUAUCUAUACCUCUCUCCCGUACACAUGCUCUCUCUCAAACACAGACACACACCACUCAACACUCUCACAGGUUUAUACUCCUCAUACAUUACCAUGCAUGCACACAGGCAAACAUAUACUCUUAGGCAAACUCUCACACACAAAGUCACACACACACACACACUCUGAUGCAUGCACAGACACACACAGGUCAAUGGGGUAAAUUUGCAUUUGCAGAUACAUUCAAUUUUGAUCAAAAAAAGCACACAAUCGGCAGGCAGUCAAUCCAUGUAAUAUUUUGUACAUUCCUACUUUGGAAAUUCAAGAUUGGGAUACAGACAGAGUCAAACCUCACAUUCUUCAUUUACUGAGCUGAGAUGUCACUGAUUUUUAUAAAACCUUAAGUCAUCUCAAGAAUGUGACUCAAAAGUACUUCUGAGCUUUACAUAUUAAUUACAAAACCCACAACCCAUUCUAGAAGAUGAAAGACUAAACCACAAUCUUGAUUUGUUCAAUAUAUCCUAUCAGUAGUAUGACACUGAUCGGUUGCGAUAUGUUCCUGCUCCAUAGCUACCCGAUGAAAGAGCAGCACUAGGAAAGCUACUGCUUCCAAAUAAAUCUGUUGGAUGAUAA